RNAcentral lists this ribosomal RNA (496 nucleotides) under uncultured bacterium. RNAcentral's name for it is "partial 16S ribosomal RNA". It matches the Rfam family "Bacterial small subunit ribosomal RNA", at positions 28 to 506 of the family's 1533-position model. The record is from RNAcentral.
GAUGAACGCUGGCGGCGUGCCUAAUACAUGCAAGUCGAGCGAACAGACGAGGAGCUUGCUCCUCUGACGUUAGCGGCGGACGGGUGAGUAACACGUGGAUAACCUACCUAUAAGACUGGGAUAACUUCGGGAAACCGGAGCUAAUACCGGAUAAUAUAUUGAACCGCAUGGUUCAAUAGUGAAAGACGGUUUUGCUGUCACUUAUAGAUGGAUCCGCGCCGCAUUAGCUAGUUGGUAAGGUAACGGCUUACCAAGGCAACGAUGCGUAGCCGACCUGAGAGGGUGAUCGGCCACACUGGAACUGAGACACGGUCCAGACGCCUACGGGAGGCAGCAGUAGGGAAUCUGCCGCAAUGGGCGAAAGCCUGACGGAGCAACGCCGCGUGAGUGAUGAAGGUCUUCGGAUCGUAAAACUCUGUUAUUAGGGAAGAACAAAUGUGUAAGUAACUAUGCACGUCUUGACGGUACCUAAGCAGAAAGCCACGGCUAACUACGU